AGCAGCGACAGAAAGUAAAGAACGGUUAAAUAUGGUGGAUUCAGGACAAGCCAACAAACAAACUGAGCAAGGCUCUAACAAUAGUGUAGCUGCUUCUGGUUCGAAUCCAAGAGUAGGGGACACAGGACAAAGUACAAAAGUGAAAGCUGGAAGUAAAGAACAAAUAAAUAUUGCAAAUUCAGGAAAAGACUUCGUAGAUUCUGAUAAAGUGUCUAAAGCAAAUGUAGAUAAUUUUGGUUCAAAUCCAAGUAAAAGUGACAGUUCUGUUAGUGGAAAAAAGAUCGGAGAACAACAUUCUCCACGACAAAAAUUUCAGCAUACGAACGAUGAUUCUUCUAAUACGCACACGACUGUUCCACUCACUGUCACCAACCCCUCUAACAGCAACAAGAGUCUCAACAUGGCUUCCAGUCAGAAAGGACAGGUGACCUCUGACUCCAAUCAAGAAAAGAAGAUGAAUCCAAACCUAAGAAGUACAGCCACAAAAGACACAAAAGAAACUCCAACUAAAAUCUUGGUACCGAAGUCCAAUACAGGCUCAGGUCCCACUAACACAGCAGAUACAAGGGAUACAAACAUUGCUGCCAAUCCUAACUCUUCGUCAAAACCCGGGGCUGAUGGCCGCCAAAAGGAAAACAUUCCGGUGAGAACAGAUUCGACUGUCGCAAGGACAGACACGACCAGUGCAGCAGACGGACGAUUCCUCACUACACGUGCAAGCAGUGUUGAGAAAGGACGAGUCGGCAAAGAUCCAAAAGCAAAUGGUGACAACAUUAAAACUAACAGCAGUGCCACGACUGUGAACCGAAAGCAGAAGCGGAAGCCGCCUCGGAGACAUGCGCAGAGCGAGGAGGAGAAGAAGGCGCAGAUGGAGAAGCAAUACCAACACAUGUUUGGCGCCAAGUCUGACAAAACUCGUCUGGUGGUUCCUAAGAUGGAGGGAAUCGAUACUGUCAUCAUUAAGGAACUGGACAAGGAAGGUCGUACGCGCACCAAGAAGAAGGACGUGAAGGAUGUGGUCAGAGAGGCCAAGGAGGUGGCCAACACCGCCAGUGGGUCCGACCCUUUGGCGACCACCACGGACAUCGGCCUCGGCCACCAGCAGCGUCCUGCUUCGGCUGAUACUCUCGACUUUGAUGAUGAGGAUGACAACGAUGAAGACGACGAAGACCUCUUUGAACUAGUUCGCAGGAAAUACAACCUCCAGAUCGACAGUGAUGAGGACGACGUGGAUGUCAAACGAUAAGGCGGCUGCUGUCAUUUUAUUUUUCUGACAUUCUGUGUGCAGCUGCCGUCAGGUAUUUGACGUCAUUUUACGUCAUUAUGUGCAGCUGCUGGAUUACUUUGUCACGUAGCAGGCGAUGUGGAGACAGAUAUCACAACGAAAGACACGUCACGGCCGAAACGGUGGACGUGACGUUGACUGCAAUAUCUCAGUGAGAGAGAAAUUACUGUGGUUAAUUGCAACUUGUAUCACAGAAUAAUUAAUUCAAAAUGGCGGACACCCCUGAAGUGACAUAACAAGUGGUCGUAACAUUUGUUGGUGUCUCGAAACUCGUGGCUACAAAUGUAGUCGGAGCACAACGAAAAGCAUGUCACAAGUGACACGUCACACGCCUUGUGUACGGAGACUGGUGUUUAUGUUUUUAUAAUGAAGUGACAUAAACUCAGUCAGCUCUGACCAGUCUAAACACAACCACAGACUUGUGAUUGGUUCCUCAGGAGCUCUAUGCAAAAGACAAACAAAAUUGUCAAAAUACGUGUGAGAGAUUCUUUCUAUCACAUGUAACAGGGUCAAAGGUGCUCCUGCUCUCAACCUUCUCACCAGAUGCAUUGCAAUUUUGAGGUUUGAGACAUUAGGGCAAUUAUUUUACAACGUUUAUAAACAUCUGAAUUCAGUAUAAUGUAACAAAUCUUUGCUGACUCUAUUAACGAUGGCAAAGAGAAACAGCUUGAAACAAACUUUCUGAUCUUGUUUAUACAACAGUUCUUCCAGUUUCAUGCACACCUUAAAUUUGGACAAUAUACUUUUACAUAGUCAUAGAAAAGGACUAAAAAUAUUAAAAAUUUUGUUCUAGAUUCAGAUUCAGACAUCCUCUGAUUAUUGAGUGGUAAUAAUGUGGACACAGGAACAUUUUUUCUUUCUGUCCCUUAAUUACCGACAUUCAUCAUCAUCGGCCUGAGGUACAUAACUGCCACGCUUGCCUUCUUCGUAUCAAAGGACAUCAGUAACUUCAAAGAAAGCAUUUCAUGUUUACCCAUUAUCUUUUUUCACUCAAAAUGUCUCCUGCCUGCCUCUGUCUGUUUGUCUUUCUGUUUAAUUGAUUGACAUCUAGAGAAUUAAAAGUAUCAUAAAGUACAUGACAAGAGAAGAUAAUUGACAUUUCUCACCACUCAUGUCCCACUCCCUUGUUAGCACCUGUCAACAAUACAGUGAAGGUUGGCUGUCCUGGUUCAGCUCUCGUUCGGGCACGGUUCUUUCUCUGCAUGUAGCAUCUGGGGAGGACACACUAACCGACAGAUGGACGCUGACGUCAUCACGGAGGAUGUGAUCAAUCAGCGCCAUGUCUGCAGCAUCUGUGAUGUUGACUACAAAGCACGCGGCUGUCGGGCAGCUUUCAAGUUUCAUUAAGACAGACACUUUUAUUAAGACUUGCGGACCAAGCUGUCCAGUGUUUGACCCACCCGACCACCACCAACAUCAACACACGUCUAAAAUUAACCGAAAUACCCGUUCACCUGUUUCCUCACCUGAGUCUCUCCCUGCCACCAGUCAUUGUAAUGACGAAUAUCCUUAAAAUUUUGG
Molecule: unclassified non-coding RNA, 2806 nt
Filed under: Pomacea canaliculata
Lineage: Eukaryota; Metazoa; Mollusca; Gastropoda; Architaenioglossa; Ampullariidae
Description: duffy receptor-like, transcript variant X1
Source: RNAcentral